Molecule: long non-coding RNA, 482 nt
Organism: Mauremys mutica (yellowpond turtle)
Lineage: Eukaryota; Metazoa; Chordata; Testudines; Geoemydidae
Exons: 3
Source: RefSeq, a predicted model, not a curated record
UGCAGAGAGUCUCCUUCUUUAGGUCUCUCCCUGAGGACUGAGAGAGAAUUCUGGGUCAUGUCUGUGAGCACGAGGAGGAGACUCGUUGGAGUUUUCCCCGUUCCCACUGCUAAUUUAGUGAGAAGACAGACAUCCCUGUGGAGAAGAGAAACAAGAAAUGAUCGGGGACAAAGCCUGCAGGAGGAUGUGAAUCAGAGAGGCCAGGGUAUGUGUUUGGGGUCUCACCAGUGCUUCUCACCUGUGAGUGCUUCCCCAUCGUCAUAGCUUGGCCUGGGAACAGGAGAAAUAAACCAGACGGAAUUUCUCUCUAACCACACAAGAGCUGGUUAUUAUUUCCUUGGACUGACAUACUCAAAGCCUGAGGGCAGAUGAAAGUGGAUCAGCAAUGAAGAACUGAACAGUGAUGUGUAGCUUCAUUCUUUUCUAACUCUGUAAAUAUUUCUGUUGGACAUCUGGGACUUACUAGCCCCAAGGCCAGUAAU